Molecule: ribosomal RNA, 483 nt
Filed under: uncultured bacterium
Lineage: Bacteria
Description: partial 16S ribosomal RNA
Rfam family: Bacterial small subunit ribosomal RNA
Source: RNAcentral
GACGAACGCUGGCGGCGUGCUUAACACAUGCAAGUCGAACGAUGAAGCUGGAGCUUGCUCCGGUGGAUUAGUGGCGAACGGGUGAGUAACACGUGAGCAAUCUGCCCUUGACUCUGGGAUAACUGCGGGAAACUGUAGCCAAUACCGGCUACAAGUGCUGAAGGCAUCUUUGGGUCUGGAAAGAAUUUCGGUCAAGGAUGAGCUCGCGGCCUAUCAGCUUGUUGGUGAGGUAAGGGCUCACCAAGGCGACGACGGGUAGCCGGCCUGAGGGGGUGACCGGCCACACUGGGACUGAGACACGGCCCAGACUCCUACGGGAGGCAGCAGUGGGGAAUAUUGCACAAUGGGCGAAAGCCUGAUGCAGCAACGCCGCGUGAGGGAUGAAGGCCUUCGGGUUGUAAACCUCUUUUAGCAGGGAAGAAGCGAAAGUGACGGUACCUGCAGAAAAAGCACCGGCUAACUACGUGCCAGCCGCCGCAGUAA